CGGUGGCUAGCCCGGUGAUCACGGCUUCGUAGGCUGUGGCGGCUGCGUUCAGCUCGGCUGCCAACCCGUUCCACGCGGAAGCUGCGGCC
Molecule: transfer RNA, 89 nt
Filed under: Mycobacterium pseudokansasii
Lineage: Bacteria; Bacillati; Actinomycetota; Actinomycetes; Mycobacteriales; Mycobacteriaceae
Description: Mycobacterium sp. MK142 tRNA-Thr
Source: RNAcentral